UACGUAGGGGGCAAGCGUUGUGCGGAUUUAUUGGGCGUAAAGAGCGUGUAGGCGGCCAGGUAGGUCGGUUGUGAAAACUGGAGGCUCAACCUUCAGACGUCGACCGAAACCCCCUGGCUAGAGUCCGGAAGAGGAGAGUGGAAUUCCUGGUGUAGCGGUGAAAUUCGUAGAUAUUCGCAAGAACACCAGUGGCGAAGGCGGCUCACUGGCCCGGUACUGACGCUGAGGUGCGAAAGCGUGGGGAGCAAACAGG
Molecule: ribosomal RNA, 253 nt
Filed under: uncultured bacterium
Lineage: Bacteria
Description: partial 16S ribosomal RNA
Rfam family: Bacterial small subunit ribosomal RNA
Source: RNAcentral